RNAcentral lists this transfer RNA (85 nucleotides) under Nitrososphaeraceae archaeon. RNAcentral's name for it is "tRNA-Leu". It matches the Rfam family "tRNA". From Rfam's summary of the family: Transfer RNA (tRNA) molecules are approximately 80 nucleotides in length. Their secondary structure includes four short double-helical elements and three loops (D, anti-codon, and T loops). Lineage: Archaea; Thermoproteati; Nitrososphaerota; Nitrososphaeria; Nitrososphaerales; Nitrososphaeraceae. The record is from RNAcentral.
GCGGGAGUUGCCAAGCUUGGUCAAAGGCGUGAGGCUCAGAACCUCAUCUUAUAGUGGUUCGUGGGUUCAAAUCCCACCUCCCGCA